GGUUAAGUUAGAAAGGGCGCACGGUGGAUGCCUUGACACUAGGAGUCGAUGAAGGACGGGACUAACGCCGAUAUGCUUCGGGGAGCUGUAAGUAAGCUUUGAUCCGAAGAUUUCCGAAUGGGGAAACCCACCAUACGUAAUGGUAUGGUAUCCUUAUCUGAAUACAUAGGGUAAGGAAGACAGACCCAGGGAACUGAAACAUCUAAGUACCUGGAGGAAGAGAAAGCAAAUGCGAUUUCCUGAGUAGCGGCGAGCGAAACGGAACAUAGCCCAAACCAAGAGGCUUGCCUCUUGGGGUUGUAGGACAUUCUAUACGGAGUUACAAAGGAACGAGGUAGACGAAGCGACCUGGAAAGGUCCGUCGUAGAGGGUAACAACCCCGUAGUCGAAACUUCGUUCUCUCUUGAAUGUAUCCUGAGUACGGCGGAACACGUGAAAUUCCGUCGGAAUCUGGGAGGACCAUCUCCCAAGGCUAAAUACUCCCUAGUGAUCGAUAGUGAACCAGUACCGUGAGGGAAAGGUGAAAAGCACCCCGGAAGGGGAGUGAAAGAGAUCCUGAAACCGUGUGCCUACAAAUAGUCAGAGCCCGUUAACGGGUGAUGGCGUGCCUUUUGUAGAAUGAACCGGCGAGUUACGAUCCCGUGCGAGGUUAAGCUGAAGAGGCGGAGCCGCAGCGAAAGCGAGUCUGAAUAGGGCGUUUAGUACGUGGUCGUAGACCCGAAACCAGGUGAUCUACCCAUGUCCAGGGUGAAGUUCAGGUAACACUGAAUGGAGGCCCGAACCCACGCACGUUGAAAAGUGCGGGGAUGAGGUGUGGGUAGCGGAGAAAUUCCAAUCGAACCUGGAGAUAGCUGGUUCUCCCCGAAAUAGCUUUAGGGCUAGCCUUAAGUGUAAGAGUCUUGGAGGUAGAGCACUGAUUGGACUAGGGGUCCUCAUCGGAUUACCGAAUUCAGUCAAACUCCGAAUGCCAAUGACUUAUCCUUAGGAGUCAGACUGCGAGUGAUAAGAUCCGUAGUCAAAGGGAAACAGCCCAGACCGCCAGCUAAGGUCCCAAAGUGUGUAUUAAGUGGAAAAGGAUGUGGAGUUGCUUAGACAACUAGGAUGUUGGCUUAGAAGCAGCCACCAUUUAAAGAGUGCGUAAUAGCUCACUAGUCGAGUGACUCUGCGCCGAAAAUGUACCGGGGCUAAAUACACCACCGAAGCUGCGGAUUGAUACCGAAUGGUAUCAGUGGUAGGGGAGCGUUCUAAGGACAGUGAAGUCAGACCGGAAGGACUGGUGGAGUGCUUAGAAGUGAGAAUGCCGGUAUGAGUAGCGAAAGACGGGUGAGAAUCCCGUCCACCGAAUGCCUAAGGUUUCCUGAGGAAGGCUCGUCCGCUCAGGGUUAGUCAGGACCUAAGCCGAGGCCGACAGGCGUAGGCGAUGGACAACAGGUUGAUAUUCCUGUACCACCUCUUUAUCGUUUGAGCAAUGGAGGGACGCAGAAGGAUAGAAGAAGCGUGCGAUUGGUUGUGCACGUCCAAGCAGUUAGGCUGAUAAGUAGGCAAAUCCGCUUAUCGUAAAGGCUGAGCUGUGAUGGGAAGCUCCUUAUGGAGCGAAGUCUUUGAUUCCCCGCUGCCAAGAAAAGCUUCUAGCGAGAUAAAAGGUGCCUGUACCGCAAACCGACACAGGUAGGCGAGGAGAGAAUCCUAAGGUGUGCGAGAGAACUCUGGUUAAGGAACUCGGCAAAAUGACCCCGUAACUUCGGGAGAAGGGGUGCUUUCUUAACGGAAAGCCGCAGUGAAUAGGCCCAAGCGACUGUUUAGCAAAAACACAGCUCUCUGCGAAGCCGUAAGGCGAAGUAUAGGGGUGACACCUGCCCGGUGCUGGAAGGUUAAGGAGAGGGGUUAGCGUAAGCGAAGCUCUGAACUGAAGCCCCAGUAAACGGCGGCCGUAACUAUAACGGUCCUAAGGUAGCGAAAUUCCUUGUCGGGUAAGUUCCGACCCGCACGAAAGGUGUAACGAUUUGGGCACUGUCUCAACCAGAGACUCGGUGAAAUUAUAGUACCUGUGAAGAUGCAGGUUACCCGCGACAGGACGGAAAGACCCCGUGGAGCUUUACUGUAGCCUGAUAUUGAAUUUUGGUACAGUUUGUACAGGAUAGGCGGGAGCCUUUGAAACCGGAGCGCUAGCUUCGGUGGAGGCGCUGGUGGGAUACCGCCCUGACUGUAUUGAAAUUCUAACCUACGGGUCUUAUCGACCCGGGAGACAGUGUCAGGUGGGCAGUUUGACUGGGGCGGUCGCCUCCUAAAGUGUAACGGAGGCGCCCAAAGGUUCCCUCAGAAUGGUUGGAAAUCAUUCGUAGAGUGCAAAGGCAUAAGGGAGCUUGACUGCGAGACCUACAAGUCGAGCAGGGACGAAAGUCGGGCUUAGUGAUCCGGUGGUUCCGCAUGGAAGGGCCAUCGCUCAACGGAUAAAAGCUACCCCGGGGAUAACAGGCUUAUCUCCCCCAAGAGUCCACAUCGACGGGGAGGUUUGGCACCUCGAUGUCGGCUCAUCGCAUCCUGGGGCUGUAGUCGGUCCCAAGGGUUGGGCUGUUCGCCCAUUAAAGCGGUACGCGAGCUGGGUUCAGAACGUCGUGAGACAGUUCGGUCCCUAUCCGUCGUGGGCGUAGGAAAUUUGAGAGGAGCUGUCCUUAGUACGAGAGGACCGGGAUGGACGCACCGCUGGUGUACCAGUUGUUCUGCCAAGGGCAUAGCUGGGUAGCUAUGUGCGGAAGGGAUAAGUGCUGAAAGCAUCUAAGCAUGAAGCCCCCCUCAAGAUGAGAUUUCCCAUAGCGUAAGCUAGUAAGAUCCCUGAAAGAUGAUCAGGUUGAUAGGUUCGAGGUGGAAGCAUGGUGACAUGUGGAGCUGACGAAUACUAAUAGAUCGAGGACUUAACCAU
RNAcentral lists this ribosomal RNA (2920 nucleotides) under Bacillus paranthracis. Its description in RNAcentral is "23S ribosomal RNA". It matches the Rfam family "Bacterial large subunit ribosomal RNA". Lineage: Bacteria; Bacillati; Bacillota; Bacilli; Caryophanales; Bacillaceae. The record is from RNAcentral.